RNAcentral lists this ribosomal RNA (1474 nucleotides) under Bacillus subtilis. Its description in RNAcentral is "bacterial SSU rRNA". It matches the Rfam family "Bacterial small subunit ribosomal RNA". Lineage: Bacteria; Bacillati; Bacillota; Bacilli; Caryophanales; Bacillaceae. The record is from RNAcentral.
CAGGACGAACGCUGGCGGCGUGCCUAAUACAUGCAAGUCGAGCGGACAGAUGGGAGCUUGCUCCCUGAUGUUAGCGGCGGACGGGUGAGUAACACGUGGGUAACCUGCCUGUAAGACUGGGAUAACUCCGGGAAACCGGGGCUAAUACCGGAUGGUUGUUUGAACCGCAUGGUUCAAACAUAAAAGGUGGCUUCGGCUACCACUUACAGAUGGACCCGCGGCGCAUUAGCUAGUUGGUGAGGUAACGGCUCACCAAGGCAACGAUGCGUAGCCGACCUGAGAGGGUGAUCGGCCACACUGGGACUGAGACACGGCCCAGACUCCUACGGGAGGCAGCAGUAGGGAAUCUUCCGCAAUGGACGAAAGUCUGACGGAGCAACGCCGCGUGAGUGAUGAAGGUUUUCGGAUCGUAAAGCUCUGUUGUUAGGGAAGAACAAGUACCGUUCGAAUAGGGCGGUACCUUGACGGUACCUAACCAGAAAGCCACGGCUAACUACGUGCCAGCAGCCGCGGUAAUACGUAGGUGGCAAGCGUUGUCCGGAAUUAUUGGGCGUAAAGGGCUCGCAGGCGGUUUCUUAAGUCUGAUGUGAAAGCCCCCGGCUCAACCGGGGAGGGUCAUUGGAAACUGGGGAACUUGAGUGCAGAAGAGGAGAAUGGAAUUCCACGUGUAGCGGUGAAAUGCGUAGAGAUGUGGAGGAACACCAGUGGCGAAGGCGACUCUCUGGUCUGUAACUGACGCUGAGGAGCGAAAGCGUGGGGAGCGAACAGGAUUAGAUACCCUGGUAGUCCACGCCGUAAACGAUGAGUGCUAAGUGUUAGGGGGUUUCCGCCCCUUAGUGCUGCAGCUAACGCAUUAAGCACUCCGCCUGGGGAGUACGGUCGCAAGACUGAAACUCAAAGGAAUUGACGGGGGCCCGCACAAGCGGUGGAGCAUGUGGUUUAAUUCGAAGCAACGCGAAGAACCUUACCAGGUCUUGACAUCCUCUGACAAUCCUAGAGAUAGGACGUCCCCUUCGGGGGCAGAGUGACAGGUGGUGCAUGGUUGUCGUCAGCUCGUGUCGUGAGAUGUUGGGUUAAGUCCCGCAACGAGCGCAACCCUUGAUCUUAGUUGCCAGCAUUCAGUUGGGCACUCUAAGGUGACUGCCGGUGACAAACCGGAGGAAGGUGGGGAUGACGUCAAAUCAUCAUGCCCCUUAUGACCUGGGCUACACACGUGCUACAAUGGACAGAACAAAGGGCAGCGAAACCGCGAGGUUAAGCCAAUCCCACAAAUCUGUUCUCAGUUCGGAUCGCAGUCUGCAACUCGACUGCGUGAAGCUGGAAUCGCUAGUAAUCGCGGAUCAGCAUGCCGGGGGAAAAACCUUUCCCGGGCCUUGUACACACCGCCCGUCACACCACGAGAGUUUGUAACACCCGAAGUCGGUGAGGUAACCUUUUAGGAGCCAGCCGCCGAAGGUGGGACAGAUGAUUGGGG